Molecule: ribosomal RNA, 110 nt
Filed under: Staphylococcus aureus
Lineage: Bacteria; Bacillati; Bacillota; Bacilli; Caryophanales; Staphylococcaceae
Description: partial 16S ribosomal RNA
Rfam family: Bacterial small subunit ribosomal RNA
Source: RNAcentral
UUUUAUGGAGAGUUUGAUCCUGGCUCAGGAUGAACGCUGGCGGCGUGCCUAAUACAUGCAAGUCGAGCGAACGGACGAGAAGCUUGCUUUUCUGAUGUUAGCGGCGGACG